UGUGACCCUGCCCGUCACCCGGCGUCCUGUCGGGGCGGGGCUCCGCGUCUACAACAAGACUUCUGAUUGGCUGCCCGUUCCACGGUCCCGGCGGGGGGCGGGAUCCUGGGCAACAACACGACUCCCGAUUGGCCAAGGGCGGUGACGGUUGCCGUGCACCUGCUUGCGGUCUCCGGCCUCCGCGCAUGCUCCGGGGCUCCGCCGGGCCGGGGGCGGCUUUGAUGUCUGUGAGGGGCCUCGCGGCGGUGCGGCCGGGACUCAAGGGCUUUGCAGGCGGAGGGCGAGCGGCUGACCCCUGACCCUCGGACCGGCGGGCAGGGCUGCGGCUGCGGAGUGAGCGUAGGUCCCGGCGGCCGGGCCUCUGCCGGGAGGGGAGCGGGGGGCGCCUUACGCGGGAGGCACUUUCCGGCGAGAGUCCGUCGGGCCGGGGCGGCUGCGUGGAGCGUCCGCACGGAUCGUGACGGUGACGGUGACCGGAGCACGGGGAUCGCUCGGAGCCGGUCUUGGCAGUCUUUUAUUGAACAGACUAUUUCAUCAAGGUUCUGAGUUGGAAUUUCUUCUGGAUUGAGCUCUUUCUGUUGUUAGCAAUAUGAUUGAAUCCAUAUAUAUCACAAAAUCUGAUAUGUGAUGACUGUAAAUAAAGGAUAAGUUUUCCUUGAAA
Myotis daubentonii (Daubenton's bat) is the source of this 661-nucleotide long non-coding RNA. RefSeq lists it as uncharacterized. NCBI's taxonomy places the organism in Eukaryota, Metazoa, Chordata, Mammalia, Chiroptera, Vespertilionidae. The record is from RefSeq and is a predicted model, not a curated record.